ACCGCACCGCAUGAGAGGGCCAUAGCAGACGCGAUGCUUUUAGCAUCAGCGAUCGGCGUUCUCGGAAGAU
Maniola jurtina (meadow brown) is the source of this 70-nucleotide long non-coding RNA. RefSeq lists it as uncharacterized. Lineage: Eukaryota; Metazoa; Arthropoda; Insecta; Lepidoptera; Nymphalidae. The transcript has 3 exons. The record is from RefSeq and is a predicted model, not a curated record.